This 436-nucleotide ribosomal RNA is filed under the name uncultured Lachnospiraceae bacterium. RNAcentral's name for it is "partial 16S ribosomal RNA". It matches the Rfam family "Bacterial small subunit ribosomal RNA", at positions 341 to 792 of the family's 1533-position model. Lineage: Bacteria; Bacillati; Bacillota; Clostridia; Lachnospirales; Lachnospiraceae. The record is from RNAcentral.
ACGGGAGGCAGCAGUGGGGAAUAUUGCACAAUGGAGGAAACUCUGAUGCAGCGACGCCGCGUGAGUGAUGAAGUAUCUCGGUAUGUAAAGCUCUAUCAGUAGGGAAGAUAAUGACGGUACCUAACUAAGAAGCACCGGCUAAAUACGUGCCAGCAGCCGCGGUAAUACGUAUGGUGCAAGCGUUAUCCGGAUUUACUGGGUGUAAAGGGAGCGUAGGUGGUUUGGCAAGCCAGAAGUGAAAACCCGGGGCGCAACCCCGUGGAUUGCUUUUGGAACUGUUGAACUAGAGUGCAGGAGGGGUAAGCGGAAUUCCCAGUGUAGCGGUGAAAUGCGUAGAUAUUGGGAGGAACACCAGUGGCGAAGGCGGCUUACUGGACUGAUUACUGACACUGAGGCUCGAAGGCGUGGGGAGCAAACAGGAUUAGAUACCCUGGUA